UACAGAGGUCUCAAGCGUUGUUCGGAUUCAUUGGGCGUAAAGGGUGCGUAGGUGGCAUGGUAAGUCGGAUGUGAAAUCCCGGGGCUCAACCCCGGAACUGCAUUCGAUACUGCUGCGCUAGAGUACUGGAGAGGAGAUUGGAAUUUACGGUGUAGCAGUGAAAUGCGUAGAUAUCGUAAGGAAGACCAGUGGCGAAGGCGGAUCUCUGGGCCGAUACUGACGCUGAGGAGCGAAAGCGUGGGGAGCGAACAGG
This 253-nucleotide ribosomal RNA is filed under the name uncultured bacterium. RNAcentral describes it as "partial 16S ribosomal RNA". It matches the Rfam family "Bacterial small subunit ribosomal RNA", at positions 524 to 776 of the family's 1533-position model. The record is from RNAcentral.